This 459-nucleotide ribosomal RNA is filed under the name uncultured bacterium. RNAcentral describes it as "partial 16S ribosomal RNA". It matches the Rfam family "Bacterial small subunit ribosomal RNA", at positions 338 to 795 of the family's 1533-position model. The record is from RNAcentral.
CCUACUGGAGGCAGCAGUGAGGAAUAUUGGUCAAUGGACGCGAGCCUGAACCAGCCAAGUCGCGUGAGGGAAGACGGUCCUAUGGAUUGUAAACCUCUUUUGUCGGGGCGCAAAAGACGCCACGCGUGGCGUUCCGAGAGUACCCGAAGAAAAAGCAUCGGCUCACUCCGUGCCAGCAGCCGCGGUAAUACGGAGGAUCCGAGGGGGUUCCGGAUUUAGUGGGUUUAAAGGGUGCGCAGGCGGAAGAUAAGGUCAGCGGGAAAAUUGAGAGGCUCAACCUCUUCGAGCCGUUGAAACUGGUUUUCUUGAGUGAGCGAGAAGUAUGCGGGAUGCUUGGUGUAGCGGUGAAAUGCAUAGAUAUCACGCAGAACUCCGAUUGCGAAGGCAGCAUACCGGCGCUCAACUGACGCUCAUGCACGAAAGUGUGGGUAUCGAACAGGAUUAGAUACCCCUGUAGUC